Molecule: ribosomal RNA, 262 nt
Filed under: Robbsia andropogonis
Lineage: Bacteria; Pseudomonadati; Pseudomonadota; Betaproteobacteria; Burkholderiales; Burkholderiaceae
Description: partial 16S ribosomal RNA
Rfam family: Bacterial small subunit ribosomal RNA
Source: RNAcentral
CCUGUCCGGUAGUGGGGGAUAGCCCGGCGAAAGCCGGAUUAAUACCGCAUACGAUCUAAGGAUGAAAGCGGGGGAUCUUCGGACCUCGCGCGAUAGGGGCGGCCGAUGGCAGAUCAGCUAGUUGGUGGGGUAAAGGCCUACCAAGGCGACGAUCUGUAGCUGGUCUGAGAGGACGACCAGCCACACUGGGACUGAGACACGGCCCAGACUCCUACGGGAGGCAGCAGUGGGGAAUUUUGGACAAUGGGCGCAAGCCUGAUCC